GAUGAACGCUAGCUACAGGCUUAACACAUGCAAGUCGAGGGGCAUCAGGAAGAAAGCUUGCUUUCUUUGCUGGCGACCGGCGCACGGGUGAGUAACACGUAUCCAACCUGCCCUUUACCCGGGGAUAGCCUUUCGAAAGAAAGAUUAAUACCCGAUAGCAUAAUGAUUCCGCAUGGUUUCAUUAUUAAAGGAUUCCGGUAAAGGAUGGGGAUGCGUUCCAUUAGGUUGUUGGUGGGGUAACGGCCCACCAAGCCUUCGAUGGAUAGGGGUUCUGAGAGGAAGGUCCCCCACAUUGGAACUGAGACACGGUCCAAACUCCUACGGGAGGCAGCAGUGAGGAAUAUUGGUCAAUGGGCGCUAGCCUGAACCAGCCAAGUAGCGUGAAGGAUGAAGGCUCUAUGGGUCGUAAACUUCUUUUAUAUAAGAAUAAAGUGCAGUAUGUAUACUGUUUUGUAUGUAUUAUAUGAAUAAGGAUCGGCUAACUCCGUGCCAGCAGCCGCGGUAAUACGGAGGAUCCGAGCGUUAUCCGGAUUUAUUGGGUUUAAAGGGAGCGUAGGUGGACUGGUAAGUCAGUUGUGAAAGUUUGCGGCUCAACCGUAAAAUUGCAGUUGAUACUGUCAGUCUUGAGUACAGUAGAGGUGGGCGGAAUUCGUGGUGUAGCGGUGAAAUGCUUAGAUAUCACGAAGAACUCCGAUUGCGAAGGCAGCUCACUGGACUGCAACUGACACUGAUGCUCGAAAGUGUGGGUAUCAAACAGGAUUAGAUACCCUGGUAGUCCACACAGUAAACGAUGAAUACUCGCUGUUUGCGAUAUACAGUAAGCGGCCAAGCGAAAGCAUUAAGUAUUCCACCUGGGGAGUACGCCGGCAACGGUGAAACUCAAAGGAAUUGACGGGGGCCCGCACAAGCGGAGGAACAUGUGGUUUAAUUCGAUGAUACGCGAGGAACCUUACCCGGGCUUAAAUUGCAGUGGAAUGAUGUGGAAACAUGUCAGUGAGCAAUCACCGCUGUGAAGGUGCUGCAUGGUUGUCGUCAGCUCGUGCCGUGAGGUGUCGGCUUAAGUGCCAUAACGAGCGCAACCCUUAUCUUCAGUUACUAACAGGUCAUGCUGAGGACUCUGGAGAGACUGCCGUCGUAAGAUGUGAGGAAGGUGGGGAUGACGUCAAAUCAGCACGGCCCUUACGUCCGGGGCUACACACGUGUUACAAUGGGGGGUACAGAAGGCAGCUAGCGGGUGACCGUAUGCUAAUCCCAAAAGCCUCUCUCAGUUCGGAUCGAAGUCUGCAACCCGACUUCGUGAAGCUGGAUUCGCUAGUAAUCGCGCAUCAGCCACGGCGCGGUGAAUACGUUCCCGGGCCU
Molecule: ribosomal RNA, 1359 nt
Filed under: uncultured bacterium
Lineage: Bacteria
Description: bacterial SSU rRNA
Rfam family: Bacterial small subunit ribosomal RNA
Source: RNAcentral